This 108-nucleotide Y RNA is filed under the name Otolemur garnettii (small-eared galago). It matches the Rfam family "Y RNA". From Rfam's summary of the family: Y RNAs are components of the Ro ribonucleoprotein particle (Ro RNP), in association with Ro60 and La proteins. The Y RNAs and Ro60 and La proteins are well conserved, but the function of the Ro RNP is not known. Lineage: Eukaryota; Metazoa; Chordata; Mammalia; Primates; Galagidae. The record is from Rfam by way of RNAcentral.
AGCUGAUCCAAAGGUAGUAAGUUAUCUCAAUUAAUUGUUCAGUCACAGUCACAUAUGGAACUCCUUGUUUACUUUUUCCUCCUCACUAUAGCACUUGACUAGUCUUUA